AUUGAACGCUGGCGGCAUGCCUAACACAUGCAAGUCGAGCGGAUGAAGGGAGCUUGCUCCUGGAUUCAGCGGCGGACGGGUGAGUAAUGCCUAUGAAUCUGCCUGGUAUUGGUGUAUAAUGUCCUGAAACGGGCGCUAAUACUGCAUACGUCCUGAGGGUGAAAGUGGGUGAGGUUCGGACCUCACGCGAGCAUAUGAGUCUAGGUCGGAUUAGUUAGCUGGUGGGGUGAAGGCCUACCAAGGCGACGAUCCGUAACUGGUCGGAGAGGAUGAUCAGUCACACUGGAACUGAAACACGGUCCAGACUACUACGGGAGGGAGCAGUGGGGAAUAUUGGACAGUGGGCGAAAGCAUGGUACAGCCAUGCCGAGUGUGUGAAGGAGGUCUUCGGAUUGUAAAGACCUUUAAGUUGGGAGAAAGGGCAGUAAGUUAAUACCUUGCUGUUUUGACGUUACCAACAGAAUAAGCACCGGCUAACUUCGUG
This 484-nucleotide ribosomal RNA is filed under the name uncultured bacterium. Its description in RNAcentral is "partial 16S ribosomal RNA". It matches the Rfam family "Bacterial small subunit ribosomal RNA", at positions 30 to 507 of the family's 1533-position model. The record is from RNAcentral.